AGAAAGACUCCAAGAUGUCAUUAAGAUAGCCCUGUGAGAUCUGAAAACCACCUCUGCACCCUGGUCCUUGUCCCUGGCCCUGAGAGGACACGCCACUUACUCUGUGACACUCUCACCAGCUCUGUCACGUUCCAGACCCCAGACGUCACAAAGCAGUCCUGGAAACUUAAGUGCCCUAAAGAAAGAAAAUGGCUGGCCUUGCACACUGCCCACUGCCAAACGCACAGGAGGGGACCUGAGGCAGUGCAGUGGGGGCUGAGUCCUCCACUCUGGAGGUGGAGGGUGGCCUCUCUUGUCUGGCCAUGCCUUGUCUGCCUUCUCGCCUCAGCCACCUCCCUUCCUCCCUCCUUGUCCCCAGCCCAUCGACACUCUUCUCUGGGAGCCCCUGACAGUGGGUGAGCUCCGGCCCACACAGAACCCCCCUCCAGUGUCUGCUUUCUCACUGGGGACAAUGGGCCAGCUGGUGGCCCAAGGAACAGUGGAGAGACAGGGAUGAUCCUGGCUCAUAUGAGGAAGGCAGGUGCUGCUUCAUCUCUUAUCCUGUCCCGCCCAGCCCACCCUGGACACUGUCACACUGGUCCCCCAGUUUGCUGUGGCCGUGUCUCCUGGGGGCUUUUCUUGCUUCAGCCUCUCCAGUCUGGCUGCCAUGGAAGCAAGGGCUAAACCGCUCCAGUCUCCUCUGUUCAGA
This 688-nucleotide long non-coding RNA is filed under the name Rattus norvegicus (Norway rat). RNAcentral describes it as "long non-coding RNA NONRATT014142". The record is from RNAcentral. Lineage: Eukaryota; Metazoa; Chordata; Mammalia; Rodentia; Muridae.